RNAcentral lists this long non-coding RNA (684 nucleotides) under Oryctolagus cuniculus (rabbit). RNAcentral's name for it is "lncRNA (ENSOCUG00000035366.1)". Lineage: Eukaryota; Metazoa; Chordata; Mammalia; Lagomorpha; Leporidae. The record is from RNAcentral.
CGUUGGCAUGACAGAACAACAUUUCCAGAUUUAAAACCACUUGAAGUGAAUUGAAGUCUUGAGAAAGUGGCUGCUGUAGGAAAGACUACGUGCUUUUCUGUCUUGACAGGUUCUGACAGGGGUGACGCAGAAGGCAGCAGGAUGCCUGCACCCAGCUGGGGGAAAGGGCUUCAGAGAGGAGAAAAGGAAACACGCAAGGAAAUGAAGGUGCAGAUGAAUGGGUACCACAGCUGUUAACAGAUGGAACCAGAAUUUGAACCCCAACAAUUGGACCCCAGUUUGCGCCCCUGUACCAGCUGUUUCUCUUGAGCCUGGACAUAGAUAUACCAAGAUAUUAACAGUGACCAUGUCAAAGACAGUUGAUCAGCGGUUCUACUACAGAAGUAGUAUUUUAUAUACUUAACAAAGACAGAGAAUUAAUGCAGAAAUAUGUUUCCAUAUCCUUGAUGUCCAUCGAGUGACUAAGGUCCUUGGUAAGGCUGAAAAUUCCCUUUCUUCUCAUUCAACAAUGUUACAGUUAUAGUUUUAUCUUGUAUAAAUAUAAUGAUAAGUGAGCAAAUAUUAAGAUUUAUCAUCAACUGUAGAAUUAGCUGAAAAAAGAGAUACAUUUACAAAGUAUAAAGUUUCUGACAAUAAUUUUAAUCCUCCAAUAAAUAAUAAAUCACAAAUAUUUAUUCGAUACCU